AUAUACUCUGAGACGUGAUACCGAGCCGCUUCAGGCGAAGUCAUUAAUCCUAUGCUGCCUAGAAAAGCCCAGUAGCGAGUUGACAUGGUGCCCGUACCCCAAACCAACACAGGUGGACAGUAGAGCAUACCAAGGCGAGUGGGAUAACUAUGGUUAAGGAACUCGGCAAAUUUCCUCCGUAACUUCGGGAUAAGGAGGACCCCAGUAGCGUGACGAGACUUGCUCUCCGAGCGUGAAGGGGUGGCACAAAAUUGAGGGAAGCGACUGUUUACCAAAAACACAGCAGCGUGCUAAGCCGUAAGGCGCUGUAUACGCUGUGACUCCUGCCCGGUGCUGGAAGGUUACGGGGAUGGGUUAGUCCUUUGGGACGAAGCUCUGAACCUAAGCCCCAGUAAACGGCGGCCGUAACUAUAACGGUCCUAAGGUAGCGAAAUUCCUUGUCGGGUAAGUUCCGACCUGCACGAAUGGAGUAACGACUUCCCUACUGUCUCAACCAUAGACCCAGCGAAAUUGAAGUACGAGUAAAGAUGCUCGUUAGCUGCAGAAGGACGGAAAGACCCCGUGGACCUUUACUAUAACUUGAUGUUGUGUUUUGUCAUAUGUUGUGUAGGAUAGGUGGGAGACAAGGAAGCAUGGACGCUAGUCUGUGUGGAGUCAUCGUUGAAAUACCACCCUGCAUAUGGUGAGGCUCUAACCUAGACCCGUUAUCCGGGUUAGGGACAGCGUCAGGCGGGUAGUUUAACUGGGGCGGUUGCCUCCUAAAGAGUAACGGAGGCGCCCAAAGGUUCCCUCAGCCUGGUUGGCAAUCAGGCGUCGAGUGCAAUGGCAAAAGGGAGCUUGACUGCGAGACCUACAAGUCGAGCAGGAGCGAAAGCUGGGCAUAGUGAUCCGGCGGUUGCGUGUGGAAGCGCCGUCGCUCAACGGAUAAAAGGUACCCCGGGGAUAACAGGCUAAUCUUGCCCAAGCGUCCAUAGCGACGGCAAGGUUUGGCACCUCGAUGUCGGCUCAUCGCAUCCUGGGGCUGAAGCAGGUCCCAAGGGUUGGGCUGUUCGCCCAUUAAAGCGGUACGCGAGCUGGGUUCAGAACGUCGUGAGACAGUUCGGUCCCUAUCCUCUGUAGCCGUAGGUGAAUUGAGGAAGGCUGUCCCUAGUACGAGAGGACCGGGACGGACGCAGCUCUCGUGUGCCAGUUGUCCUGCCAAGGGCAUGGCUGGUUAGCGACCUGCGGAAAGGAUAACCGCUGAAAGCAUCUAAGCGGGAAGCCUCUUCCAAGAUGAAUUCACCCACAGGGUUAACCUGGUAAGGCCCGUGGUAGACCACCACGUUGAUAGGCCGGA
RNAcentral lists this ribosomal RNA (1336 nucleotides) under metagenome. RNAcentral describes it as "bacterial LSU rRNA". It matches the Rfam family "Bacterial large subunit ribosomal RNA", at positions 1549 to 2865 of the family's 2925-position model. The record is from RNAcentral.